GGUGAGUAAUAUAUCGGAACGUGCCCUAGAGUGGGGGAUAACUAGUCGAAAGACUAGCUAAUACCGCAUACGAUCUACGGAUGAAAGUGGGGGAUCGCAAGACCUCAUGCUCCUGGAGCGGCCGAUAUCUGAUUAGCUAGUUGGUGGGGUAAAAGCCUACCAAGGCAACGAUCAGUAGCUGGUCUGAGAGGACGACCAGCCACACUGGGACUGAGACACGGCCCAGACUCCUACGGGAGGCAGCAGUGGGGAAUUUUGGACAAUGGGGGCAACCCUGAUCCAGCAAUGCCGCGUGAGUGAAGAAGGCCUUCGGGUUGUAAAGCUCUUUUGUCAGGGAAGAAACGGUAGUAGCGAAUAACUAUUACUAAUGACGGUACCUGAAGAAUAAGCACCGGCUAACUACGUGCCAGCAGCCGCGGUAAUACGUAGGGUGCAAGCGUUAAUCGGAAUUACUGGGCGUAAAGCGUGCGCAGGCGGUUGUGUAAGUCAGAUGUGAAAUCCCCGGGCUCAACCUGGGAAUUGCAUUUGAGACUGCACGGCUAGAGUGUGUCAGAGGGGGGUAGAAUUCCACGUGUAGCAGUGAAAUGCGUAGAUAUGUGGAGGAAUACCGAUGGCGAAGGCAGCCCCCUGGGAUAACACUGACGCUCAUGCACGAAAGCG
This 660-nucleotide ribosomal RNA is filed under the name Herbaspirillum sp. RNAcentral's name for it is "bacterial SSU rRNA". It matches the Rfam family "Bacterial small subunit ribosomal RNA", at positions 105 to 761 of the family's 1533-position model. Lineage: Bacteria; Pseudomonadati; Pseudomonadota; Betaproteobacteria; Burkholderiales; Oxalobacteraceae. The record is from RNAcentral.